CCAGCGAUUAGGUCGGGAACUCAAAGGAGACUGCCAGUGAUAAACUGGAGGAAGGUGGGGAUGACGUCAAGUCAUCAUGGCCCUUACGACCAGGGCUACACACGUGCUACAAUGGCGCAUACAAAGAGAAGCGACCUCGCGAGAGCAAGCGGACCUCAUAAAGUGCGUCGUAGUCCGGAUUGGAGUCUGCAACUCGACUCCAUGAAGUCGGAAUCGCUAGUAAUCGUGGAUCAGAAUGCCACGGUGAAUACGUUCCCGGGCCUUGUACACACCGCCCGUCACACCAUGGGAGUGGGUUGCAAAAGAAGUAGGUAGCUUAACCUUCGGGAGGGCGCUUACCACUUUGUGAUUCAUGACUGGGGUGAAGUCGUAACAAGGUAACCGUAGGGGAACCUGCGGUUGGA
This 404-nucleotide ribosomal RNA is filed under the name Salmonella enterica subsp. enterica serovar Potsdam. Its description in RNAcentral is "bacterial SSU rRNA". It matches the Rfam family "Bacterial small subunit ribosomal RNA", at positions 1118 to 1522 of the family's 1533-position model. Lineage: Bacteria; Pseudomonadati; Pseudomonadota; Gammaproteobacteria; Enterobacterales; Enterobacteriaceae. RNAcentral also lists the same sequence under 6 other names. The record is from RNAcentral.